This 377-nucleotide ribosomal RNA is filed under the name uncultured bacterium. Its description in RNAcentral is "bacterial SSU rRNA". It matches the Rfam family "Bacterial small subunit ribosomal RNA", at positions 524 to 898 of the family's 1533-position model. The record is from RNAcentral.
UACGUAGGGCGCGAGCGUUGUCCGGAUUUAUUGGGCGUAAAGAGCUCGUAGGCGGUUUGUCGCGUCUGCUGUGAAAUCCUCUGGCUUAACUGGGGGCGUGCAGUGGGUACGGGCAGACUGGAGUGCGGUAGGGGAGACUGGAAUUCCUGGUGUAGCGGUGGAAUGCGCAGAUAUCAGGAGGAACACCGGUGGCGAAGGCGGGUCUCUGGGCCGUUACUGACGCUGAGGAGCGAAAGCAUGGGGAGCGAACAGGAUUAGAUACCCUGGUAGUCCAUGCCGUAAACGUUGGGAACUAGGUGUGGGGUCCAUUCCACGGGUCCUGUGCCGUAGCUAACGCAUUAAGUUCCCCGCCUGGGGAGUACGGCCGCAAGGCUAAA